CCUACGGGCGGCUGCAGUGGGGAAUAUUGGACAAUGGGCGAAAGCCUGAUCCAGCCAUGCCGCGUGUGUGAAGAAGGCCUUCGGGUUGUAAAGCACUUUCAGUGGGGAAGAAAGCCUUGGGGCUAAUGCCCUCGAGGAAGGACAUCACCCACAGAAGAAGCACCGGCUAACUCCGUGCCAGCAGCCGCGGUAAUACGGAGGGUGCGAGCGUUAAUCGGAAUUACUGGGCGUAAAGCGCGCGUAGGCGGUCUGAUAAGCCGGUUGUGAAAGCCCCGGGCUCAACCUGGGAACGGCAUCCGGAACUGUCAGGCUAGAGUGCAGGAGAGGAAGGUAGAAUUCCCGGUGUAGCGGUGAAAUGCGUAGAGAUCGGGAGGAAUACCAGUGGCGAAGGCGGCCUUCUGGACUGACACUGACGCUGAGGUGCGAAAGCGUGGGUAGCAAACAGGAUUAGAUACCCCAGUAGUC
Molecule: ribosomal RNA, 465 nt
Filed under: Vreelandella stevensii
Lineage: Bacteria; Pseudomonadati; Pseudomonadota; Gammaproteobacteria; Oceanospirillales; Halomonadaceae
Description: partial 16S ribosomal RNA
Rfam family: Bacterial small subunit ribosomal RNA
Source: RNAcentral